AAUGAUUCACCCUGUAUAAAACUAGCUCCCCCUUUAUUUUUUGCUCCAACUUUUCAAAAAACUCUCCACCUUCCUAAGAGGUACUUCCAUCUGGUUCUCGUGGGAACCUUUGAUUUCACUGCCUACUCUUCUAAGUCAUUGAAUAUCUGAUUCCUGAUGAGAAUUUUGAAAACCUUCUCACACAAGAGAUUUCAUUGUUCUAAGGUGUUUGGGAUUUCUCCACUUGUAGGUCGACUUGAAGGAGGCGUACUUCUAAAGUUUGUAAAUCGUCUCUCAUAAUCGUCAAAGGUUGGACUCCAUGAUAGCUCACAUGGUUUAUGUCUGUUACAUGAUAGCUCCCACAAUUUUAGUCAGUAUUCAGUAUGUCUUAGCUCAGGUACCAGUUGUAGCCUACAUGACAUAAUUAGACAGUUUGCAGCUUCCAGCCAGCAGGUGAUGAGUUCUCUUAUUUUGGGGACUCCAGUCAGUAGUAGUUCACAUACUAUUUUUAAUUAUUCAUAUGUAUUGAUUUGUUGCAGUUGGUGGUAUGAGACGCAACUAUUUAUAGUCAGUAUAGUACCGGCUUCAUAGAUAGUCAAUCAAAGUCAUAGAAUGUAAUUCACAUUCUUUCUUAAGAUUUUAUCAGAUUAUAAACUUUAUCUGUUACAUACUUAUUCAAA
Long non-coding RNA from Capsicum annuum, 659 nucleotides. RefSeq lists it as uncharacterized. The transcript has 4 exons. The record is from RefSeq and is a predicted model, not a curated record. Lineage: Eukaryota; Viridiplantae; Streptophyta; Magnoliopsida; Solanales; Solanaceae.